CUCAGCUGUAGUUCUUGGAACGAAUGGAAACAGACAGCACCCAGGACCCAGUAGGACUGGCCUGUGCUUCUUGGAUACUUGGGUUCAGGGUCUCCUCCCCAGCGGUCUCUAACAGCUGAGGUAGGGACGACUCACCGUCCCGGUCCCCAAAUGCAGUGCUUUAAACUCAGAGACCCUUUCUUCGGGCCGCAAGGCUGGACCAGGGCUCUCACUACCCGGGUGGGAAGACUGUAUGAUGUUUGGGCCUUGCCAGCCCCAAGGAAGAGUCAGAUCUCUAAACCUGGGGGCCUCCUGGGAAAGCCAGGACUCCAGCACUGUGGAAAGAGCAUGGAGGUAGAAGUCAGAAGGACCUGGGUUCAAAUCCCACUUUUGCCCAGGCAUAGGGGCUCAUGCCUGUAAUCCAAGCACUUUGGAAGGCUGAGGCAGGUGAAUCACUAGAGUCCGGAAAUUUGAGACCAGCAUGAGCAACCUGGAGAAACCCUGUCUCUACUAAAAAAAAAAAAAAAAAAAAAACCAGCUGUGCAUGGUGGCAUGCAUCUGUAGUCCCAGCUACUCAGGAGACUGAGGUGGGAAGAUCACUUGAGCCUGGAAAGUCAAGGCUGUAGUGAGCUGUGAUUGCACCACUGUACUCCAGCCUCGGCCACAGAAUGAGACCCUGUCUUACAAAAACAAACAAACAAACAAACAAAAAUCUCACUUUGUCAUUUCCUAGUUCAAAAACCUUAGUCAAAUGGCUGCUCCGUUUCCUUAUCUGUAGAGGCGGGACCGGCGUCUUGGGCCUACUGUGGAGAUUAAAUGAGCACUGAGUAUGUGCCCAGCCCUGGGCUAAGAGCUUUACACAAACGACCCCAUGGGCUUCUCACAAUAACUCUCUGGAAUGGGUACAGGCCCCAUUUUGCAGAAGAGGAAACUGAGGCCCAGAGAGAUGGCAUGACUUGCCCAUGGUCACUCAGCUGGGAACUAGUAGAGCCAGGAUUUGAACCAGGCAGUCUGACUUCAAAAGCAGCAGCAUGAG
This 1015-nucleotide long non-coding RNA is filed under the name Homo sapiens (human). Its description in RNAcentral is "HSALNT0003481". The record is from RNAcentral. Lineage: Eukaryota; Metazoa; Chordata; Mammalia; Primates; Hominidae.